This 459-nucleotide ribosomal RNA is filed under the name uncultured bacterium. RNAcentral's name for it is "partial 16S ribosomal RNA". It matches the Rfam family "Bacterial small subunit ribosomal RNA", at positions 338 to 795 of the family's 1533-position model. The record is from RNAcentral.
CCUACGGGAGACUGCAGUGAGGAAUAUUGGUCAAUGGUCGGGAGACUGAACCAGCCAAGCCGCGUGAGGGAGGAAGGUACAGAGUAUCGUAAACCUCUUUUGUCAGGGAACAAAGACUGGGACGCGUCCCCGGAUGAGUGUACCUGAAGAAAAAGCAUCGGCUAACUCCGUGCCAGCAGCCGCGGUAAUACGGGGGAUGCGAGCGUUAUCCGGUUUUAUUGGGUUAAAGGGGUGCGCAGGCGGUCUGGUAAGUCAGCGGUCAAAGCCCGGGGCUCAACCCCGGCCCGCCGUUGAAACUGGCAGUCUCGAGUUGGAGAGUAGUAUGCGGAAUGCGCGGUGUAGCGGUGAAAUGCAUAGAUAUCGCGCAGAACUCCGAUUGCGAAGGCAGCAUGCCGGCUCCACACUGACGCUGAGGCACGAAAGCGUGGGUAUCGAACAGGAUUAGAUACCCGAGUAGUC